Molecule: ribosomal RNA, 497 nt
Filed under: uncultured bacterium
Lineage: Bacteria
Description: partial 16S ribosomal RNA
Rfam family: Bacterial small subunit ribosomal RNA
Source: RNAcentral
GACGAACGCUGGCGGCGUGCCUAAUACAUGCAAGUAGAACGCUGAAGAGAGGAGCUUGCUCUUCUUGGAUGAGUUGCGCACGGGUGAGUAACGCGUAGGUAACCUGCCUUGUAGCGGGGGAUAACUAUUGGAAACGAUAGCUAAUACCGCAUAACAAUGGAUGACACAUGUCAUUUAUUUGAAAGGGGCAAUUGCUCCACUACAAGAUGGACCUGCGUUGUAUUAGCUAGUAGGUGAGGUAAUGGCUCACCUAGGCGACGAUACAUAGCCGACCUGAGAGGGUGAUCGGCCACACUGGGACUGAGACACGGCCCAGACUCCUACGGGAGGCAGCAGUAGGGAAUCUUCGGCAAUGGGGGCAACCCUGACCGAGCAACGCCGCGUGAGUGAAGAAGGUUUUCGGAUCGUAAAGCUCUGUUGUAAGUCAAGAACGGGUGUGAGAGUGGAAAGUUCACACUGUGACGGUAGCUUACCAGAAAGGGACGGCUAACUACGUG